UGGGGAAUAUUGGACAAUGGGCGCAAGCCUGAUCCAGCCAUGCCGCGUGUGUGAAGAAGGCCUUUCGGUUGUAAAGCACUUUAAGCGAGGAGGAGGCUACUUGGAUUAAUACUCUAGGAUAGUGGACGUUACUCGCAGAAUAAGCACCGGCUAACUCUGUGCCAGCAGCCGCGGUAAUACAGAGGGUGCGAGCGUUAAUCGGAUUUACUGGGCGUAAAGCGUGCGUAGGCGGCUUUUUAAGUCGGAUGUGAAAUCCCUGAGCUUAACUUAGGAAUUGCAUUCGAUACUGGGAAGCUAGAGUAUGGGAGAGGAUGGUAGAAUUCCAGGUGUAGCGGUGAAAUGCGUAGAGAUCUGGAGGAAUACCGAUGGCGAAGGCAGCCAUCUGGCCUAAUACUGACGCUGAGGUACGAAAGCAUGGGGAGCAAACAGG
RNAcentral lists this ribosomal RNA (430 nucleotides) under bacterium. RNAcentral's name for it is "partial 16S ribosomal RNA". It matches the Rfam family "Bacterial small subunit ribosomal RNA", at positions 355 to 776 of the family's 1533-position model. The record is from RNAcentral.